RNAcentral lists this ribosomal RNA (492 nucleotides) under uncultured bacterium. Its description in RNAcentral is "partial 16S ribosomal RNA". It matches the Rfam family "Bacterial small subunit ribosomal RNA", at positions 29 to 507 of the family's 1533-position model. The record is from RNAcentral.
AGUGAACGCUGGCGGUAGACUUAACACAUGCAAGUCGAACGGCAGCACAGUAAGAGCUUGCUCUUACGGGUGGCGAGUGGCGGACGGGUGAGGAAUACAUCGGAAUCUACUUUUUCGUGGGGGAUAACGUAGGGAAACUUACGCUAAUACCGCAUACGACCUACGGGUGAAAGCAGGGGAUCUUCGGACCUUGCGCGAUUGAAUGAGCCGAUGUCGGAUUAGCUAGUUGGCGGGGUAAAGGCCCACCAAGGCGACGAUCCGUAGCUGGUCUGAGAGGAUGAUCAGCCACACUGGAACUGAGACACGGUCCAGACUCCUACGGGAGGCAGCAGUGGGGAAUAUUGGACAAUGGGCGCAAGCCUGAUCCAGCCAUACCGCGUGGGUGAAGAAGGCCUUCGGGUUGUAAAGCCCUUUUGUUGGGAAAGAAAAGCAGCAGGUUAAUACCCCGCUGUUCUGACGGUACCCAAAGAAUAAGCACCGGCUAACUUCGUG